UAUUCUUCACCGCUGACCACCAUUUACGAGAAUCGGACUGUUGAACGCCCGCGAUACUUUUAUUGUAGUAAUUUAGUCUUGCUUUUUUGCAAAGUGCAUUGACUUUGUUUCGAUAGAAUCUGAACAUCAGGUUAUUGCCAGCCGCCCAUGCUGUUUGCCGCUUGGAAAUAAGAGAUUUUAUUUCGGAAGUAAUCCAAGGCUUGUCACUAGAAUCAAUUUUGAUUUGUUUCCAAG
This is a non-coding RNA of Paramuricea clavata, 234 nucleotides long. The record is from the annotation of a GenBank genome assembly. NCBI's taxonomy places the organism in Eukaryota, Metazoa, Cnidaria, Anthozoa, Malacalcyonacea, Plexauridae.